AUUUAAUAUUUUCGCCCUUCCCUUCGUUCCUGACAAUAUGCUGUUAGCCGCGGGAUUUUGACCGUGCAAAGGUAGCAUAAUCAUUAGUUUUUUAAUUGGAAACUUGUAUGAAUGGUUGGACAAAGAAAAAGCUGUCUCUUUUAUUAAAAUUGAAAUUAACUUCUAAGUGAAAAGGCUUAUAUUUUCUACAGGGACGAUAAGACCCUAUAAAGCUUUAUAAAUUAAGUAAGUUAGAACAAAUUUUAUAGAAUAAAGGUAAAUUUAAUAUAUUUAUUUGGUUGGGGCGACAAUGGUAUAAAUUAAAUAACUGCUAUUAAAAUUAAACAAUUAUAUUUGAUUAAAAUUAUAAUUGAUCCUUAUUAUGGAUUAAAAGAUCAAGUUACUUUAGGGAUAACAGCGUAAUUUCUUUUAAGAGUUCUUAUCAAAGAAGAAGUUUGCGACCUCGAUGUUGAAUUAAAAUGUCUUUAUAGUGCAGAAGCUAUAAAAGAAGGUCUGUUCGACCUUUAAUUUUUUACGUGAUCUGAGUUCAGACCAGA
RNAcentral lists this ribosomal RNA (536 nucleotides) under Scylla tranquebarica (purple mud crab). Its description in RNAcentral is "partial 16S ribosomal RNA". It matches the Rfam family "Bacterial large subunit ribosomal RNA", at positions 1875 to 2620 of the family's 2925-position model. The record is from RNAcentral. Lineage: Eukaryota; Metazoa; Arthropoda; Malacostraca; Decapoda; Portunidae.